Non-coding RNA from Caenorhabditis brenneri, 45 nucleotides. Lineage: Eukaryota; Metazoa; Nematoda; Chromadorea; Rhabditida; Rhabditidae. The record is from Rfam.
CCAACGGCCCUCUUUAGGGCCACAUAUAUCCGAAUAAUCCAAAAA